UCCUUUAUGGCUCAGAUGGUAAAGCGUCUGCCUGCAAUGCGGGAGACCCAGGUUCGAUACCUGGGUUGGGAA
This 72-nucleotide transfer RNA is filed under the name Ovis aries (sheep). It matches the Rfam family "tRNA". Rfam says of the family: Transfer RNA (tRNA) molecules are approximately 80 nucleotides in length. Lineage: Eukaryota; Metazoa; Chordata; Mammalia; Artiodactyla; Bovidae. The record is from Rfam by way of RNAcentral.